GUUUGAUCAUGGCUCAGAUUGAACGCUGGCGGCAUGCCUUACACAUGCAAGUCGAACGGCAGCACGGGGGCAACCCUGGUGACGAGUGGCGGACGGGUGAGUAAUGCAUCGGAACGUGCCCAGUAGUGGGGGAUAACCAGUCGAAAGAUUGGCUAAUACCGCAUACGACCUACGGGUGAAAGCGGGGGACCGUAAGGCCUCGCGCUAUUGGAGCGGCCGAUGUCUGAUUAGCUAGUUGGCGGGGUAAAAGCCCACCAAGGCGACGAUCAGUAGCCGGCCUGAGAGGGUGUACGGCCACACUGGCACUGAGAUACGGGCCAGACUCCUACGGGAGGCAGCAGUGGGGAAUUUUGCGCAAUGGGGGAAACCCUGACGCAGCAACGCCGCGUGAGUGAUGAAGGCCUUCGGGUCGUAAAGCUCUUUUAGUGGGGAAGAAGCCCACCCGGGCUAAUACCUCGGGUGUCUGACGGUACCCACAGAAAAAGUUCCGGCUAACUACGUGCCAGCAGCCGCGGUAAUACGUAGGGAGCAAGCGUUGUUCGGAAUUAUUGGGCGUAAAGAGCGCGUAGGCGGUUCGGUAAGUCUGACGUGAAAUCCCGGAGCUUAACUCCGGAACUGCGUUGGAUACUGCCGGGCUUGAGUGUGGGAGAGGAGAGUGGAAUUCCCAGUGUAGAGGUGAAAUUCGUAGAUAUUGGGAGGAACACCCGUGGCGAAGGCGGCUCUCUGGACCACAACUGACGCUGAGGCGCGAAAGCUAGGGUAGCAAACGGGAUUAGAUACCCCGGUAGUCCUAGCCGUAAACGAUGGGCACUAGGUGUUGGAGGUAUCGACCCCUCCAGUGCCGCAGCUAACGCAUUAAGUGCCCCGCCUGGGGAGUACG
RNAcentral lists this ribosomal RNA (880 nucleotides) under uncultured bacterium. RNAcentral describes it as "bacterial SSU rRNA". It matches the Rfam family "Bacterial small subunit ribosomal RNA", at positions 11 to 884 of the family's 1533-position model. The record is from RNAcentral.